AGAGUUUGAUCCUGGCUCAGGAUGAACGCUGGCGGCGUGCUUAACACAUGCAAGUCGAACGAAGCACUUUAACCUGAUUCUUCGGAUGAAGGUUUUUGUGACUGAGUGGCGGACGGGUGAGUAACGCGUGGGUAACCUGCCUCAUACAGGGGGAUAACAGUUAGAAAUGACUGCUAAUACCGCAUAAGACCACAGAGCCGCAUGGCUCGGUGGGAAAAACUCCGGUGGUAUGAGAUGGACCCGCGUCUGAUUAGGUAGUUGGUGGGGUAACGGCCUACCAAGCCAACGAUCAGUAGCCGACCUGAGAGGGUGACCGGCCACAUUGGGACUGAGACACGGCCCAAACUCCUACGGGAGGCAGCAGUGGGGAAUAUUGCACAAUGGGGGAGACCCUGAUGCAGCGACGCCGCGUGAGCGAAGAAGUAUUUCGGUAUGUAAAGCUCUAUCAGCAGGGAAGAAAAUGACGGUACCUGACUAAGAAGCCCCGGCUAACUACGUGCCAGCAGCCGCGGUAAUACGUAGGGGGCAAGCGUUAUCCGGAUUUACUGGGUGUAAAGGGAGCGUAGACGGAUGGACAAGUCUGAUGUGAAAGGCUGGGGCUCGACCCCGGGACUGCAUUGGAAACUGCCCGUCUUGAGUGCCGGAGGGGUAAGCGGAAUUCCUAGUGUAGCGGUGAAAUGCGUAGAUAUUAGGAGGAACACCAGUGGCGAAGGCGGCUUACUGGACGGUAACUGACGUUGAGGCUCGAAAGCGUGGGGAGCAAACAGGAAUAGAUACCCUGGUAGUCCACGCGGUAAACGAUG
Molecule: ribosomal RNA, 803 nt
Filed under: uncultured bacterium
Lineage: Bacteria
Description: bacterial SSU rRNA
Rfam family: Bacterial small subunit ribosomal RNA
Source: RNAcentral